CCUACGGGUGGCAGCAGUGAGGAAUAUUGGUCAAUGGACGAGAGUCUGAACCAGCCAAGUAGCGUGAAGGAUGACUGCCCUAUGGGUUGUAAACUUCUUUUAUAAAGGAAUAAAACGAGGCACGUGUGCCUUUUUGUAUGUACUUUAUGAAUACGGAUCGGCUAACUCCGUGCCAGCAGCCGCGGUAAUACGGAGGAUCCGAGCGUUAUCCGGAUUUAUUGGGUUUAAAGGGAGCGUAGAUGGGUUGUUAAGUCAGUUGUGAAAGUUUGCGGCUCAACCGUAAAAUUGCAAUUGAUACUGGCAGUCUUGAGUACAGUUGAGGUAAGCGGAAUUCGUGGUGUAGCGGUGAAAUGCUUAGAUAUCACGAAGAACCCCGAUUGCGAAGGCAGCUUACUAAACUGUGACUGACAUUGAUGCUCGAAAGUGUGGGUAUCAAACAGGAGUAGAUACCCGUGUAGUC
RNAcentral lists this ribosomal RNA (460 nucleotides) under uncultured bacterium. RNAcentral's name for it is "partial 16S ribosomal RNA". It matches the Rfam family "Bacterial small subunit ribosomal RNA", at positions 338 to 795 of the family's 1533-position model. The record is from RNAcentral.